AGUAACUAAUAGUUAUUUUUCUUUGGUAACAAUACCAUUUCGUACACUAGUAGGCAACGGAUUAUCCCUUGGAAAUCCAAAUAAGCACCAAAAUUUUUAUCCAUAUAUUCUGUGGCGUUAUCAAUUCAAGAUUUUUAUAGCUUCAAAUCAUCUGGAAGCAAGAGAAAACCUCACUUUUUGCCUUGACAAUCAGUAAAGAAUAUAGUCUGUACAGGAUACUGACAAAUAGUUGGGGGUUUAAGACAUAUUUCAUGAAAUAGAUAUUAAGCAGCAAAAGAAACUAAACUCUGGUUUGUCCGAAAUGAGCUUAGAAAGUCAUGAUCAUAUUCUCCAAAGAUGCCCUAGUUCUGAAAUUGUUGCUGAUUCCAACUGCAAUUGGGAGUAUAAAAUAUGUGAAUCUCCUAAUGUUGUUCAGCCAAAAGCAGUUAUAGAUCAACAUCCUCCGAAAGCAAGUGUUUGUGCUUUCUGUUAUUCUGCUAAGACCACAGAG
Solanum lycopersicum (tomato) is the source of this 490-nucleotide non-coding RNA. Lineage: Eukaryota; Viridiplantae; Streptophyta; Magnoliopsida; Solanales; Solanaceae. The record is from RefSeq and is a predicted model, not a curated record.